RNAcentral lists this ribosomal RNA (535 nucleotides) under uncultured Gammaproteobacteria bacterium. RNAcentral describes it as "bacterial SSU rRNA". It matches the Rfam family "Bacterial small subunit ribosomal RNA", at positions 75 to 605 of the family's 1533-position model. Lineage: Bacteria; Pseudomonadati; Pseudomonadota; Gammaproteobacteria. The record is from RNAcentral.
UAUCUUCGGAUAUGAGUAGAGCGGCGGACGGGUGAGUAACGCGUAGGAAUCUACCUAGUAGAAGGGGAUAGCCCGGGGAAACCCGGAUUAAUACCGUAUACCUCCUUCGGGAGAAAGAAGGCCUCUCUUUGAAGCUUUCGCUACUAGAUGAGCCUGCGUAAGAUUAGCUUGUUGGUGAGGUAAAGGCUCACCAAGGCAACGAUCUUUAGCUGGUCUGAGAGGACGAUCAGCCACAUUGGGACUGAGACACGGCCCAGACUCCUACGGGAGGCAGCAGUGGGGAAUAUUGGACAAUGGGCGCAAGCCUGAUCCAGCCAUACCGCGUGUGUGAAGAAGGCCUUCGGGUUGUAAAGCACUUUAAGCAGGGAGAAAAAGUUAUAAGCUAAUACCUUAUAACCUUGAUGUUACCUGCAGAAUAAGCACCGGCUAAUUCCGUGCCAGCAGCCGCGGUAAUACGGAAGGUGCAAGCGUUAAUCGGAAUUACUGGGCGUAAAGCGCGCGUAGGUGGUUUGUUAAGUUGGAUGUGAAAGCCCUG